UGGGGUUAUCAGUCAUUUGGAAUCUUCAGAUUACUUUUGGGUAUGUUUAAACACCAAGAAGUAAACCACAACCAAUUUCAGGGUCAGUUCCCUGUGUAUGUUCUGUGCUCAAUAGCAGCCUCUCACAGGAAUCAGUCUCUGAAAAAUGAAUUUAGACAUGGUUGUGUAGGAGUUGAAGAGUUUAGACGCCCAGCUGUAGAGGACAGACAGACUCACGUGUAACAGGGCAUUAAGAGUGGUCAGAAACAGGACAGCGUGGAGGGACAUUAUCUGUCUACAUGAUCAGGGGAUCAGCACUGUACGGGCCCAGUCAGCCUGGUUCAGCCCCAGCCCCAUGUUCAGCUCUAGCCCCAGUCCUAACCCCAGUCAGCCUGGUUCAGCCCCAGCCCCAUGUUCAGCUCUAGCCCCAGUCAUAACCCCAGUCUGCCUGGUUCAGCCCCAGUCCCAUUCCUAACCCCAGACAGUCUGGUUCAGCCCCAUGUUCAGCUCUAGCCUCAGUCCUAACCCCAGUCAGCCUGGUUCAGCCCCAGCCCCAUGUUCAGCUCUAGCCUCAGUCCUAACCCCAGUCAGCCUGGUUCAGCCCCAUCCCCAUGUUCAGCUCUAGCCCCAGUCCUAACCCCAGACAGUCUGGUUCAGCUCCACGUUCAGCUCUAGCCCCAGUCCUAACCCCAGACAGUCUGGUUCAGCACCAUGUUCAGCUCUAGCCCCAGUCCUAACCCCAGACAGUCUGGUUCAGCCCUAUGUUCAGCUCUAGCCCCAGUCCUAACCCCAGACAGACGGGGCUAAACUAAAGAAGGGGUGAGCCUGAUGCAGCCUUCCGCAGCCCCAGUCCUAACCCCAGACAGACGGGGCUAAACUAAUGAAGGGGUGAGCCUCAUGCAGCCUUCCGCAGCCCCAGUCCUAACCCCAGACAGACGGGGCUAAACUAAAGAAGGGGUGAGCCUCAUGCAGCCUUCCGCAGCCCCAGUCCUAACCCGAGACAGACGGG
This 988-nucleotide long non-coding RNA is filed under the name Salmo salar (Atlantic salmon). RNAcentral's name for it is "lncRNA (ENSSSAG00000097069.1)". Lineage: Eukaryota; Metazoa; Chordata; Actinopteri; Salmoniformes; Salmonidae. The record is from RNAcentral.